Non-coding RNA from Phrynosoma platyrhinos (Desert horned lizard), 72 nucleotides. Lineage: Eukaryota; Metazoa; Chordata; Lepidosauria; Squamata; Phrynosomatidae. The record is from the annotation of a GenBank genome assembly.
GACAGCAUGGCAUAGUGGUUUGAGUGUUGGACUGAGACUCUGGAGACCCAGGCUCAAUUCCCUGCUCAGUCA